UGGGUAACCUGCCUCAAAGAGGGGAAUAGCCUCCCGAAAGGGAGAUUAAUACCGCAUAAUAUGUUUAGGUCGCAUGACUUUAACAUCAAAGGAUUUUCUUUUAGAAAUUCCACUUUGAGAUGGACCCGCGGCGCAUUAGCUAGUUGGUGAGGUAACGGCUCACCAAGGCAACGAUGCGUAGCCGACCUGAGAGGGUGAUCGGCCACAUUGGAACUGAGACACGGUCCAGACUCCGUAGG
Molecule: ribosomal RNA, 239 nt
Filed under: uncultured bacterium
Lineage: Bacteria
Description: partial 16S ribosomal RNA
Rfam family: Bacterial small subunit ribosomal RNA
Source: RNAcentral